CCGGCGGCAGCCUCCGCCCAGAGGAAACUUUAUAAAAACAAAAUCCGGAGCCUCCCAAACGUGACUGUCCCGGGAGAAGUGGCCCUGGACCGGCAUAAGCCACAGCCUGAAAAGACCCAGGAAGAGGAAAAGAGGAGGUAAGCGGGGCCGCCGCCUCCUGUCCCCUGGCAGCGCGGAAGAGACCCGGGUGGCCGCCUGAUAUAGCUACGCUAGCACCGCUUCUUCCUCAGUUACGCGCCGGAGCCUUCCGCAGCUGCCACCCCAGUCCGAAGGAGGAAAAGAACCAACCCACUUUUCAGCGCCUUGGCUCUUAUCUGAAGUAGAGCCUCAACCACCAGCAGGAUUUUUAAAAGGCUGUCUGACUAUUUGGAUUACUUCCUUAGGAUAGCUUGCCAGGAGUGGAGUUACUGGGUCAGAGGAAUGUGAAAACCUUUGCAUCUUCUGAUAGUCUAGCCAAGGUCCAAGAAGUAGCAAGCUGGCUUUUGGAAAUGAAUCAGGAACUGCUCUCUGUGGGCAGCAAAAGACGACGAACUGGAGGCUCUCUGAGAGGUAACCCUUCCUCAAGCCAGAUAGAUGAGGAACAGAUGAAUCGUGUGGUAGAGGAGGAACAGCAGCAGCAACUGAGACAACAAGAGGAGGAGCACACUGUAAGGAAUGGUGAAAUCGUUGGUGUAGAACCUCGACCUGGAGACCAAAAUGAUUCCCAGCAAGGACACUUGGAAGAAAACAAUAAUCGAUUUAUUUCAGUAGAUGAGGAUUCCUCAGGAAACCAAGAAGACCAUGAGGAAGAUGAAGAACAUGCUGGUGAACAAGAUGAGGAGGAUGAGGAGGAGGAGGAAAUGGACCAGGAGAGUGAUGAUUUUGAUCAGUCUGAUGACAGUAGCAGAGAAGAUGAACAUACACAUGGUAACAGUGUCACAAACUCCAGUAGCAUUGUGGACUUGCCCAUUCACCAACUCUCUUCCCCAUUCUAUACAAAGACAACAAAAGUGAGUAUAUUCAAUUUGCUGUUAACCUGAGAAACUUUACGUAUCUUUUAAUUGAAAUGAGAUCUUCCUCACAGUCUUCAUAAAUGUUGCAAAUUAACCUUCAUAUAUGUAUUAUAAUAAUAAAAUGAGCUAAGUUUUGUUUUACA
Molecule: RNA transcript, 1135 nt
Organism: Otolemur garnettii (small-eared galago)
Lineage: Eukaryota; Metazoa; Chordata; Mammalia; Primates; Galagidae
Gene name: F-box/WD repeat-containing protein 7 pseudogene
Exons: 4
Source: RefSeq, a predicted model, not a curated record